CCUACGUGAGGCAGCAGUGGGGAAUAUUGCGCAAUGGGCGAAAGCCUGACGCAGCGACGCCGCGUGAGGGAUGAAGGUCUUCGGAUCGUAAACCUCUGUCAGCAGGGAAGAACGGUCACUGUGCUAAUCAGCAGUGAAUUGACGGUACCUGCAAAGGAAGCACCGGCUAACUCCGUGCCAGCAGCCGCGGUAAUACGGAGGGGGCGAGCGUUAAUCGGAAUGACUGGGCGUAAAGCGCUCGUAGGCGGUAUGUCAAGUCAAGGGUGAAAUCCCCGCGCUCAACGUGGGAACUGCCUUUGAAACUGGCAAACUGGCGUGUGUGAGAGGCUAGUGGACUUCCCGGUGUAGGCGUGAAAUCCGUAGAUAUCUGGCGGAACAUCAGUGGCGAAGGCGACUCUCUGGCACAUACCUGCCGCUGAGGAGCGAAAGCGUGGGUAGCAACCAGGAUUAGCUACCCCAGUAGUC
Molecule: ribosomal RNA, 465 nt
Filed under: uncultured bacterium
Lineage: Bacteria
Description: partial 16S ribosomal RNA
Rfam family: Bacterial small subunit ribosomal RNA
Source: RNAcentral